This 429-nucleotide ribosomal RNA is filed under the name Escherichia coli. RNAcentral describes it as "bacterial SSU rRNA". It matches the Rfam family "Bacterial small subunit ribosomal RNA", at positions 802 to 1231 of the family's 1533-position model. RNAcentral also lists the same sequence under 1 other name. The record is from RNAcentral. Lineage: Bacteria; Pseudomonadati; Pseudomonadota; Gammaproteobacteria; Enterobacterales; Enterobacteriaceae.
GUAAACGAUGUCGACUUGGAGGUUGUGCCCUUGAGGUGUGGCUUCCGGAGCUAACGCGUUAAGUCGACCGCCUGGGGAGUACGGCCGCAAGGUUAAAACUCAAAUGAAUUGACGGGGGCCCGCACAAGCGGUGGAGCAUGUGGUUUAAUUCGAUGCAACGCGAAGAACCUUACCUGGUCUUGACAUCCACGGAAGUUUUCAGAGAUGAGAAUGUGCCUUCGGGAACCGUGAGACAGGUGCUGCAUGGCUGUCGUCAGCUCGUGUUGUGAAAUGUUGGGUUAAGUCCCGCAACGAGCGCAACCCUUAUCCUUUGUUGCCAGCGGUCCGGCCGGGAACUCAAAGGAGACUGCCAGUGAUAAACUGGAGGAAGGUGGGGAUGACGUCAAGUCAUCAUGGCCCUUACGACCAGGGCUACACACGUGCUACAAU